RNAcentral lists this ribosomal RNA (460 nucleotides) under uncultured bacterium. RNAcentral describes it as "partial 16S ribosomal RNA". It matches the Rfam family "Bacterial small subunit ribosomal RNA", at positions 338 to 795 of the family's 1533-position model. The record is from RNAcentral.
CCUACGGGGGGCAGCAGUGAGGAAUAUUGGUCAAUGGGCGAGAGCCUGAACCAGCCAAGUCGCGUGAAGGAUGAAGGAUCUAUGGUUUGUAAACUUCUUUUAUAUGGGAAUAAAGUGAGGAACGUGUUCCUUUUUGUAUGUACCAUAUGAAUAAGGAUCGGCUAACUCCGUGCCAGCAGCCGCGGUAAUACGGAGGAUCCGAGCGUUAUCCGGAUUUAUUGGGUUUAAAGGGAGCGUAGAUGGGUUGUUAAGUCAGUGGUGAAAUUUUGCGGCUCAACCGUAAAAUUGCAAUUGAUACUGGUAGCCUUGAGUAUAGUUGAGGUAGGCGGAAUUCGUGGUGUAGCGGUGAAAUGCUUAGAGAUCACGAAGAACACCGAUUGCGAAGGCAGCAUGCCGGCUUCCGACUGACGCUGAAGCACGAAAGCGUGGGGAUCGAACAGGAUUAGAUACCCCAGUAGUC